GAGAGUUUGAUCCUGGCUCAGGACGAACGCUGGCGGCGUGCCUAAUACAUGCAAGUAGAACGCUGAAGAGAGGAGCUUGCUCUUCUUGGAUGAGUUGCGAACGGGUGAGUAACGCGUAGGUAACCUGCCUUGUAGCGGGGGAUAACUAUUGGAAACGAUAGCUAAUACCGCAUAACAAUGGAUGACACAUGCCAUUUAUUUGAAAGGGGCAAUUGCUCCACUACAAGAUGGACCUGCGUUGUAUUAGCUAGUAGGUGAGGUAAUGGCUCACCUAGGCGACGAUACAUAGCCGACCUGAGAGGGUGAUCGGCCACACUGGGACUGAGACACGGCCCAGACUCCUACGGGAGGCAGCAGUAGGGAAUCUUCGGCAAUGGGGGCAACCCUGACCGAGCAACGCCGCGUGAGUGAAGAAGGUUUUCGGAUCGUAAAGCUCUGUUGUAAGUCAAGAACGGGUGUGAGAGUGGAAAGUUCACACUGUGACGGUAGCUUACCAGAAAGGGACGGCUAACUACGUGCCAGCAGCCGCGGUAAUACGUAGGUCCCGAGCGUUGUCCGGAUUUAUUGGGCGUAAAGCGAGCGCAGGCGGUUUGAUAAGUCUGAAGUUAAAGGCUGUGGCUCAACCAUAGUUCGCUUUGGAAACUGUCAAACUUGAGUGCAGAAGGGGAGAGUGGAAUUCCAUGUGUAGCAGUGAAAUGCGUAGAUAUAUGGAGGAACACCGGUGGCGAAAGCGGCUCUCUGGUCUGUAACUGACGCUGAGGCUCGAAAGCGUGGGGAGCGAACAGGAAUUANAUACCCUGGUAGUCCNCGCCGUAAACGAUGAGUGCUAGGUGUUGGAAUCCNUUCCNGGGAUUCAGUGCCNAAANCUAACGCAUU
Molecule: ribosomal RNA, 876 nt
Filed under: uncultured bacterium
Lineage: Bacteria
Description: bacterial SSU rRNA
Rfam family: Bacterial small subunit ribosomal RNA
Source: RNAcentral